RNAcentral lists this ribosomal RNA (810 nucleotides) under uncultured bacterium. Its description in RNAcentral is "bacterial SSU rRNA". It matches the Rfam family "Bacterial small subunit ribosomal RNA", at positions 8 to 796 of the family's 1533-position model. The record is from RNAcentral.
AGAGUUUGAUCCUGGCUCAGAACGAACGCUGGCGGCGUGGAUAAGACAUGCAAGUCGAGCGAGAUUUUUUCCUGUAGCAAUACAGGGAAAAGUCUAGCGGCGAACGGGUGCUUAACACGUGGGCAAUCUGUCUUAAAGUGGGGGAUAGCUCGGCGAAAGCCGAAUUAAUACCGCAUGUGGUUAGAGUGGACAUCCAUUCAAAAUCAAAGGUGGCGCAAGCUACCGCUUUUUGAGGAGCCCGCGGCCUAUCAGCUAGUUGGUGAGGUAACGGCUCACCAAGGCUUUGACGGGUAGCUGGUCUGAGAGGACGACCAGCCACACUGGGACUGAGACACGGCCCAGACACCUACGGGUGGCAGCAGUCGAGAAUUUUUCUCAAUGGGGGAAACCCUGAAGGAGCGACGCCGCGUGGAGGAUGAAGGUCUUCGGAUUGUAAACUCCUGUCAUUGGGGAACAAGGUGCAUACGUUAACUGCGUGUGCAUUGAUAGUACCCGAAGAGGAAGAGACGGCUAACUCUGUGCCAGCAGCCGCGGUAAUACAGAGGUCUCAAGCGUUGUUCGGAUUCAUUGGGCGUAAAGGGUGCGUAGGCGGCGCGGUAAGUCGGGUGUGAAAUCUCGGAACUUAACUCCGAAACUGCAUUCGAUACUGCCGUGCUUGAGGACUGGAGAGGAGACUGGAAUUUACGGUGUAGCGGUGAAAUGCGUAGAUAUCGUAAGGAAGACCAGUGGCGAAGGCGGGUCUCUGGACAGUUCCUGACGCUGAGGCACGAAGGCCAGGGGAGCAAACGGGAUUAGAUACCCCAGUAGUCC